UGACAACCCCUGUUGGAUCUCCUGUUGGAUUGCAAUGAAGGCCUUCAAAUGGCUCUGUUAUUAAGAUAAGGAGGCACAUCUUGCAAUGAGAAGGAAAUGCAAAGGAAAUUAAGAAAGAGCCUGUUGAGUGAAAACAAUACUGGGGAAAAUAUUUCAACAGGGAUGGAGAUGAGAUUAAAUGUUGCCAGACAUCAAAGCAGGACAAAAUCUCACAGAAUUGUUCCUUGAUGAAUUUGUGAUUAAAGCAGACCACUUGUGGAUGGAGAAGAAGAAAGAAAACCAGAGGGUGGCAUAAAAUAAUGUCUGCAGGCAGACUUACAUAUUUCUCCCAUUUGCAAAGCCUCAGUAACUUGAGCUAUCUAACAGCCCAAUCUUAUACCACAUAUGGACUUUAUCUUCUCUGGCAGUACCAAUAAAACCACAUCAUGGACUUGGAAGGGGAUGUUUGAGAGACCGCUUUCUGCCCCAUUUGCCAUGUACAGCCCUUACAAUUACUGGGAGUGAAGGGAUAUCUUGCUGUUCACAACUCCUGAGCCAGACAACAGCACAUACGAUGCAGCCUACAAGAGUAUGGCUAAUAGUCUCACCUGACAAAACUACACAGUCCCCUGUUGCACAACACAGCUAUGCUGUCCAUGGUUCGGAAUUGCAUCUGUGUAGCAGUGCUAAUGGCAGAUGUUGUAAUAGUGGUCCCUGUUUUAGA
Rhineura floridana is the source of this 703-nucleotide long non-coding RNA. RefSeq lists it as uncharacterized. Lineage: Eukaryota; Metazoa; Chordata; Lepidosauria; Squamata; Rhineuridae. The record is from RefSeq and is a predicted model, not a curated record. The transcript has 3 exons.